AUUGAACGCUGGCGGCAGGCCUAACACAUGCAAGUCGAGCGGAUGAAGGGAGCUUGCUCCUGGAUUCAGCGGCGGACGGGUGAGUAAUGCCUAGGAAUCUGCCUGGUAGUGGGGGAUAACGUCUGGAAACGGGCGCUAAUACCGCAUACGUCCUGAGGGAGAAAGUGGGGGAUCUUCGGACCUCACGCUAUCAGAUGAGCCUAGGUCGGAUUAGCUAGUUGGUGGGGUAAAGGCCUACCAAGGCGACGAUCCGUAACUGGUCUGAGAGGAUGAUCAGUCACACUGGAACUGAGACACGGUCCAGACUCCUACGGGAGGCAGCAGUGGGGAAUAUUGGACAAUGGGCGAAAGCCUGAUCCAGCCAUGCCGCGUGUGUGAAGAAGGUCUUCGGAUUGUAAAGCACUUUAAGUUGGGAGGAAGGGCAGUAAGUUAAUACCUUGCUGUUUUGACGUUACCAACAGAAUAAGCACCGGCUAACUUUGUG
Molecule: ribosomal RNA, 484 nt
Filed under: uncultured bacterium
Lineage: Bacteria
Description: partial 16S ribosomal RNA
Rfam family: Bacterial small subunit ribosomal RNA
Source: RNAcentral